UUCAUGCCAUCAUUCUCAGACAGUUACAAAUUGGGGCAUUGAUGUUGUAAUAUUAAGGGAAAAUGAAAACAACAGUGAAGAUGUCAAAAGGUGGCACUAAACAAUUGCAAGUUAGUAUCAGUUCAGUUACUCACACUAUAAUUAUUACAACAGUUAGGAUUGGCAUAUCUCCUGGACAGUUUCAAAAGGGUAAUCAGAAUAACAAAAGUCUAUGUACGUUUUGAUUCAGAAAUUGGUAGCUUAAGACUUUAUCAUCAGAAUUCUCAUCCAACAUAAAAGGGGACAACAUAGACAACAGAAAAGGGAUGAAUACAUACAGAGAAAAAGCUGGAGAAGAAAUGAAAGACCAACUCUACUCUCAAAAUUCCAACACCACAACACCUCCAUAGUCCAAAUUUCUUCAUCAACCUCACUAUACUUGUCAUUCUUUCUUUAUCCUAUCAUCCCUAAAAAAAUCCAGCAUAUCAUAUCCACAUCUACUAUCUAUCACACACGCAUAUACACAAUUCCACCAGAACUCAUUCAUAUCAUACCAAACAACACACGCAAUUGCUAUAGAGAGACAUGCUUAUCACAAAGGAGUAUCACAUGACAUACACAUAGAACAGAGAGUAACAAAUUAUACAUAGUCAAUAUUAAUCUUUCCAAGCUUUUGUUUUUAUUGGUCGUUAGGGCUUUUAAUGAGAUCUACAAUAGUGUUACUAUGGCUCAGUGCUUUGGCAGAUGUAUACUUAAUUUGAUAAACACCAAAUGAGCUUGCUGCAUUGGCUCUUCAAUACCAUAUUGAGAAUUUGAUAAGAUAUACUAUUAUUUUACUAUUUCAAGUAAGAACAUCAUGAAUACUAAAUGAACUUCUCCAAACAAAAGACAUAGUGAAAUUUAAGGAAUAACUAUACAAAUGGAUCUGAGUGACUUAAUAAAGCAAAUAAGUAUAUUUUGUUCGUUACAUAAAAAGAAUUAAAAAGUAUAAUAUGUAAGCACCAUAACAUUUAUAGACAUUUAUUACAUUAUUCACAAUUCAUUAGUAUCACUUUUUUUAAGAGCAAAUAAUAAUUAAAAAUGAAUAUUGGAUAAUGAAAUAACUUAUAGAACUUUUACGUGUCAAAACAUACAUCUUUCUGUUAAAAAUUAAAUUAGAUCAGAAAGAAUAUCUCUUAUACUACAAGGAUUGACUAAUACUCUCACCGAAAUAUAAACAAAUUGGAUUUAUCAUACAUAAAAUCAAAACUAAAGUAGUGCCAUAUUUUCCAGCCCCAUAAAUAAGAUUUCACAAAAACAAUGUAAGUUCAAAAGAUUAGGCUUUUAGAUUGAAAACUUUUCUUGAAUUCAUACGAUUAAGAUUAAGGGGCCAAAAUGAAUUACAAGUAUAAAAUGAUGAUAAAUUCAUCACCUCUAACGCUAAUAAUCAUUUACAUUUCUAAUUAAAAUUUCAAACUCUAGUAAAUUUCUCUACAAUCCUUUCUAGUAGUGUAAUAAAAACCGUAUCGGACGGUCGAUCGGAAAACUGGGGGACCCUUUACUGGUAAGGUACACCAUCUAUAUCAGUCAUGUAACAAACCGGUGGGAACCGGUGAAAACUGGCCAACCGGUCGGUUUAGUGUUCAUUUUGAAAAAAACUCCAACAAAAGGAUAAUGAAUAAUGGAAGAGAGUGUUGAGGAUAAAACUCCAAGAACUACUUGUAUUUGUUUUUCGAUGUUGUUAAAAACGUGAGGAUUUGGAAGAGGUCUCAUGGGUGAUAAGUGAAAUUGUGAAAAAUAGAAGAAAAAGAGGAGAAUUGGAGAAGGAAGGAGAUGAAAAAGUGAUACACAAUCGUGAUUGAGAAAAAAAAAAGUGAAGGAACUGUGGGUGAGAAUGGAGAAUAUGAAGGAGAGCACUGAAAGGAUGGUGGGGUAAAUGUUCUCUCUCUA
RNAcentral lists this long non-coding RNA (1908 nucleotides) under Lupinus angustifolius (narrow-leaved blue lupine). RNAcentral describes it as "long non-coding RNA (LANG_LNC000598)". Lineage: Eukaryota; Viridiplantae; Streptophyta; Magnoliopsida; Fabales; Fabaceae. The record is from RNAcentral.